UACGGAGGAUGCAAGCGUUAUCCGGAAUGAUUGGGCGUAAAGCGUCCGCAGGUGGCUAUGUAAGUCUGCUGUUAAAGAGUGAGGCUCAACCUCAUAAGAGCAGUGGAAACUACAUGGCUAGAGUGCGUUCGGGGCAGAGGGAAUUCCUGGUGUAGCGGUGAAAUUCGUAGAGAUCAGGAAGAACACCGGUGGCGAAGGCGCUCUGCUAGGCCGCAACUGACACUGAGGGACGAAAGCUAGGGGAGCGAAUGGG
RNAcentral lists this ribosomal RNA (253 nucleotides) under uncultured bacterium. RNAcentral describes it as "partial 16S ribosomal RNA". It matches the Rfam family "Bacterial small subunit ribosomal RNA", at positions 524 to 776 of the family's 1533-position model. The record is from RNAcentral.